CCACCAUAACUGCACCAGGAUCCAUUGCUUAUUUAAGCCUCCACCUUUCCUCUAGGGGCUUCACUUCGCCUGAGGGUCGACACCUUUCUUCUGACUGAGAGUUUAGCCACUCAGCCACUCCAUCGGUGCCCUUUUCAACUCCGAGCGCCCUUCGCACCAGUCUUUGCCAUCCCCGCCGGCUCCCCGCCAUCUUCAGUCCCCCGAGCCUUUCCGAGGGGU
RNAcentral lists this long non-coding RNA (219 nucleotides) under Elaeis guineensis (African oil palm). RNAcentral's name for it is "long non-coding RNA (EGUI_LNC072932)". The record is from RNAcentral. Lineage: Eukaryota; Viridiplantae; Streptophyta; Magnoliopsida; Arecales; Arecaceae.